This 464-nucleotide ribosomal RNA is filed under the name uncultured bacterium. RNAcentral describes it as "partial 16S ribosomal RNA". It matches the Rfam family "Bacterial small subunit ribosomal RNA", at positions 339 to 795 of the family's 1533-position model. The record is from RNAcentral.
CUACGGGAGGCUGCAGUGGGGAAUAUUGCACAAUGGGCGCAAGCCUGAUGCAGCCAUGCCGCGUGUAUGAAGAAGGUCUUCGGGUUGUAAAGUACUUUCAGCGGGGAGGAAGGGAGUAAAGUUAAUACCUUUGCUCAUUGACGUUACCCGCAGAAGAAGCACCGGCUAACUCCGUGCCAGCAGCCGCGGUAAUACGGAGGGUGCAAGCGUUAAUCGGAAUUACUGGGCGUAAAGCGCACGCAGGCGGUUUGUUAAGUCAGAUGUGAAAUCCCCGGGCUCAACCUGGGAACUGCAUCUGAUACUGGCAAGCCUGAGUCUCGUAGAGGGGGGUAGAAUUCCAGGUGUAGCGGUGAAAUGCGUAGAGAUCUGGAGGAAUACCGGUGGCGAAGGCGGCCCCCUGGACGAAGACUGACGCUCAGGUGCGAAAGCGUGGGGAGCAAACAGGAUUAGAUACCCUAGUAGUC